RNAcentral lists this ribosomal RNA (412 nucleotides) under Scaeochlamys livida. RNAcentral describes it as "partial 12S ribosomal RNA". It matches the Rfam family "Bacterial small subunit ribosomal RNA", at positions 878 to 1495 of the family's 1533-position model. Lineage: Eukaryota; Metazoa; Mollusca; Bivalvia; Pectinida; Pectinidae. The record is from RNAcentral.
GACUACGAGCGUGUGCUUAAAACUCAAAGAACUUGGCGGCUCGUUAACUACCUAGGGGAAUAUGCGCCUUAAUCCGAUGAUCCGCGUGGAAUCUUACUGUACCUUGAAAAAGAACAGCUGGUGUAUUGCCGUCGUCAGCUUGUUGUUCGAGCAAAGAGAAACAAGCUCAAUGGAACUGGUGACUUGUUGGUUGGCAGGGUCCGUAAAGUCAGGUCGAAAUACUGCCUAUGGUACAAGGGAGUGGGUAUUACAAUUCAAAUUUCGAAAUACGGAGCUUGGAAGAAAUGUGAAAUCUCCAGGUGAAGGUGGACUUAGGAGUAAGGGAAGAUUAAUAUGCUCCCCUGAACAUGAAACUAGCUUGUGUACCAACCGCCCGUCGCUCUCGCCGGAAGGUGAGAUAAGUCGUAACAGG